RNAcentral lists this ribosomal RNA (495 nucleotides) under uncultured bacterium. RNAcentral's name for it is "partial 16S ribosomal RNA". It matches the Rfam family "Bacterial small subunit ribosomal RNA", at positions 28 to 507 of the family's 1533-position model. The record is from RNAcentral.
GACGAACGCUGGCGGCGUGCCUAAUACAUGCAAGUAGAACGCUGAAGGAGGAGCUUGCUUCUCUGGAUGAGUUGCGAACGGGUGAGUAACGCGUAGGUAACCUGCCUGGUAGCGGGGGAUAACUAUUGGAAACGAUAGCUAAUACCGCAUAAGAGUAGAUGUCGCAUGACAUUUGCUUAAAAGGUGCGAUUGCAUCACUACCAGAUGGACCUGCGUUGUAUUAGCUAGUUGGUGAGGUAACGGCUCACCAAGGCAACGAUACAUAGCCGACCUGAGAGGGUGAUCGGCCACACUGGGACUGAGACACGGCCCAGACUCCUACGGGAGGCAGCAGUAGGGAAUCUUCGGCAAUAGACGGAAGUCUGACCGAGCAACGCCGCGUGAGUGAAGAAGGUUUUCGGAUCGUAAAGCUCUGUUGUAAGAGAAGAACGAGUGUGAGAGUGGAAAGUUCACACUGUGACGGUAUCUUACCAGAAAGGGACGGCUAACUACGUG